Molecule: long non-coding RNA, 362 nt
Filed under: Musa acuminata (dwarf banana)
Lineage: Eukaryota; Viridiplantae; Streptophyta; Magnoliopsida; Zingiberales; Musaceae
Description: long non-coding RNA (MACU_LNC009107)
Source: RNAcentral
GAAGUGCUCGGUUUUGAGAUCAUGCUCCAUACAGGAUCUUGAGUCUCUAAUAAUCUCUUUCAAGAGCUGAGCAUUGUUUGUGUGUUGACAUUCAAAGAUUCUAUUACAUGUCUCCUUCCACAUCCACCAAAUAGCGCAUCUGAAAGUAACCUUUGUCAGUUGUGUAAGUGGCCCUUUUCUUGAGAAACAUUGCAUAAGGUCGCCUAGUUCUUGGUGCAAGUUUGGUUGCGGCAGUCUAUUGAGUUCAAAUCGCUGGAGAGUCUCCUUCCAUAUCCAUUUUGUAUAAGCACAAGCAAAAUAGAGGUGGUCAACAGUUUCUUCUUGUUGCAAACAAAGGGAGCAUCGGUUAAUAUGAUAGAUAC